GGUUGUGGCUUAGUGAUAGAGCGCUUGCCUAGCAUGUACGAGGCCCUGGGUUCCAUCCUCAGCACUA
RNAcentral lists this transfer RNA (67 nucleotides) under Marmota monax (woodchuck). RNAcentral describes it as "tRNA.Ala". The record is from RNAcentral. Lineage: Eukaryota; Metazoa; Chordata; Mammalia; Rodentia; Sciuridae.